Molecule: ribosomal RNA, 253 nt
Filed under: uncultured bacterium
Lineage: Bacteria
Description: partial 16S ribosomal RNA
Rfam family: Bacterial small subunit ribosomal RNA
Source: RNAcentral
UACGUAGGGUCCGAGCGUUGUCCGGAAUUAUUGGGCGUAAAGGGCUCGUAGGCGGUCCGUCACGUCGGGAGUGAAAACUCAGGGCUCAACCCUGAGCGUGCUUCCGAUACGGGCGGACUAGAGGUAUGCAGGGGAGAACGGAAUUCCUGGUGUAGCGGUGGAAUGCGCAGAUAUCAGGAGGAACACCGGUGGCGAAGGCGGUUCUCUGGGCAUUACCUGACGCUGAGACGCGAAAGCGUGGGGAGCGAACAGG